RNAcentral lists this ribosomal RNA (514 nucleotides) under uncultured bacterium. RNAcentral's name for it is "partial 16S ribosomal RNA". It matches the Rfam family "Bacterial small subunit ribosomal RNA", at positions 28 to 523 of the family's 1533-position model. The record is from RNAcentral.
GAAGAACGCUGGCGGCGUGCCUAAUACAUGCAAGUCGAGCGAAUGGAUUAAGAGCUUGCUCUUAUGAAGUUAGCGGCGGACGGGUGAGUAACACGUGGGUAACCUGCCCAUAAGACUGGGAUAACUCCGGGAAACCGGGGCUAAUACCGGAUAACAUUUUGAACCGCAUGGUUCGAAAUUGAAAGACGGCUUCGGCUGUCACUUAUGGAUGGACCCGCGUCGCAUUAGCUAGUUGGUGAGGUAACGGCUCAACAAUGCAACGAUGGGUAGCCGACCUGAGAGGGUGAUCGGCCACACUGGGACUGAGACACGGCCCAGACUCCUACGGGAGGCAGCAGUAGGGAAUCUUCCGCAAUGGACGAAAGUCUGACGGAGCAACGCCGCGUGAGUGAUGAAGGCUUUCGGGUCGUAAACUCUGUUGUUAGGGAAGAACAAGUGCUAGUUGAAUAAGCUGACACCUUGACGGUACCUAGCCAGAAAGCCACGGCUAACUACGUGCCAGCAGCCGCAGUAA